UCUGUGUGUUCUCUGGAUCUUUUCAGCCCUGUGGUCCAGUGUCCAUCACAGCCAUGCUGACUGGGUGACUGGAGACAGGGAUGAUGGAGAGUUCAGCAAGGGCUGGGCAGAGGAGGCUGGGGCCACCUCUGGAGGGUGUCCUGCUGUUCCUGUUGGCCCCAGCUGCACUCGCAGGGCCUUCCUGUGGCCCCUUUCCCCAUGCAGGGGCGGCCGCAGCUCUCACCCACUCUCUCCUGCAGACGGCGAGGGGACCGACCUGUUUGCCGUGGCUGUCCAUGAGUUUGGCCACGCCCUGGGCCUGGGCCACUCCUCAGCCCCCAACUCCAUUAUGAGGCCCUUCUACCAGGGUCCGGUGGGCGACCCUGACAAGUACCGCCUGUCUCAGGAUGACCGCGAUGGCCUGCAGCAACUCUAUGGGAAGGCGCCCCAAACCCCAUAUGACAAGCCCACAAGGAAACCCCUGGCUCCUCCGCCCCAGCCCCCGGCCUCGCCCACACACAGCCCAUCCUUCCCCAUCCCUGAUCGAUGUGAGGGCAAUUUUGACGCCAUCGCCAACAUCCGAGGGGAAACUUUCUUCUUCAAAGGCCCCUGGUUCUGGCGCCUCCAGCCCUCCGGACAGCUGGUGUCCCCGCGGCCCGCACGGCUGCACCGCUUCUGGGAGGGGCUGCCCGCCCAGGUGAGGGUGGUGCAGGCCGCCUAUGCUCGGCACC
RNAcentral lists this small RNA (710 nucleotides) under Pan troglodytes (chimpanzee). RNAcentral's name for it is "retained intron". Lineage: Eukaryota; Metazoa; Chordata; Mammalia; Primates; Hominidae. The record is from RNAcentral.